Molecule: non-coding RNA, 225 nt
Organism: Vicia faba (fava bean)
Lineage: Eukaryota; Viridiplantae; Streptophyta; Magnoliopsida; Fabales; Fabaceae
Source: the annotation of a GenBank genome assembly
AUGGUCAAAAAGCUACAUGGUCCUGAAAGGCUAUUAUCAACCAUAAAGGACAUUUCCCCAACUUCUCAGGAAAAGCUCUGCAAAGCCAUGGACUCAAUUUAUAUUCUUCAUACAAACAAUCUAAAAGAAUUUUCCAUAGAAAUUCCUGAUGAGAAAGAUGAUAAGCUUACUUGCUGCAAGGAUGUUGCAAAAUACAUAGCCUCUGAGGAUGGUAUGUUUCAAUAA